CGCCCAUAAGCUAGCCCCCUCACCUAAAAACAACAAACCUUAUUAAUACCCCCUAAUACCCUAUUAAACUACAAAACAAAUCAUUUUUCCCCCUUAGUAUGGGCGACAGAAAAGGGGCCCGUGGAGCUAUAGAAAAAGUACCGCAAGGGAACGCUGAAAGAGAAAUGAAAUAAACCAGUAAAGCCUAAAAAAGCAGAGCUUACCCCUCGUACCUUUUGCAUCAUGAUUUAGCUAGUAGAAUUCAAGCAAAGUGCACUUUAGUUUGACACCCCGAAACUAGAUGAGCUACUCCAAGGCAGCCUAGUUUAUAGGGCACACCCGUCUCUGUGGCAAGAGAGUGGGAAGACCUUUGAGUAGGAGUGACAAACCUAUCGAACCUAGUUAUAGCUGGUUGCCUGGGAACUGGAUAGGAGUUCAGCCUCCCGGCUUCUCUCGUCAACACAUAAUAUUCAAGGGCCCCGCCCUUAUGAUCGACAUGGCAGAACCCGCGAGAGUUAGUCAGAGGGGGUACAGCUCCUCUGACACAAGAUACAACUUUUCAAGGUGGGUAAUGACCACAUAGUACAAGGCAAAGUAUUCUGGUGGGCUUAAAAGCAGCCAUCCUCAAAGAGUGCGUUAAAGCUCAGACAUGCUUAUAUCCUUAUAUUCUGGCAACCUCAUCACAACCCCCUAAAUUUACCAGGCCUUCCCAUGCAAACAUGGGAGAGUUAAUGCUAAAAUGAGUAAUAAGAGGGUAUAUUUUGCCCCUCUCUCCAGCACAUGUGUACCUCGGAACGGACCCGCCGCCGAGCUUUAACGGCCCCAAUUAAAGAGGGGACUGAAUAAUGAAUAAAAAACUAGAAAACCAUUCAAACACCACCGUUAACCCCACACUGGCGUGCAUCCAGAGAAAGACUCAAAGGGGAAGAAGGAAUUCGGCAAAUAUGAGCCCCGCCUGUUUACCAAAAACACCGCCUCUUGCAAACUUAUGUAUAAGAGGUCCAGCCUGCCCUGUGACUAUAUGUUUAACGGCCGCGGUAUCUUAACCGUGCGAAGGUAGCGCAAUCACUUGUCUUUUAAUUGAAGACCUGUAUGAAUGGCAUCACGAGGGCUUGACUGUCUCCUUCCCCUAGUCAAUGAAAUUGAUCUCCCCGUGCAGAAGCGGGGAUACACACAUAAGACGAGAAGACCCUGUGGAGCUUUAGACACAAGAGAGACUGCCUUCAUUAACCCAAAAUAAAGGGCCAAAGCUAAAGGUAGCCCUCUCCAGCGUCUUUGGUUGGGGCGACCGUGGGGUAAAACAAAACUCCCUCGUGGAAUAGGAGCAUCCUCCUUCAACCAAGAGCUCCCGCUCUAAGGAACAGAACUUCUGACCAAUCAGUGAUCCGGCAUCGCCGAUCAACGAACCGAGUUACCCCAGGGAUAACAGCGCAAUCUCCUUCUAGAGCCCUUAUCGACAAGGGGGUUUACGACCUCGAUGUUGGAUCAGGACAUCCUAAUGGUGCAGCCGCUAUUAAGGGUUCGUUUGUUCAACGAUUAAAGUCCUACGUGAUCUGAGUUCAGACCGGAGCGAUCCAGGUCGGCUUCUAUCUAUGACUUCCUCUUUUCUAGUACGAAAGGACCGAAAAGAAGAGGCCCACGCCCUUUGCGCGCCUCACCCUUACCCGCUGAACAUAACUAAAACAGGUAAAAGAGGAUAUAUUUUAACUAGAGAAAAU
Molecule: ribosomal RNA, 1697 nt
Filed under: Dicentrarchus punctatus
Lineage: Eukaryota; Metazoa; Chordata; Actinopteri; Moronidae
Description: 16S ribosomal RNA
Rfam family: Bacterial large subunit ribosomal RNA
Source: RNAcentral